Molecule: ribosomal RNA, 250 nt
Filed under: uncultured bacterium
Lineage: Bacteria
Description: partial 16S ribosomal RNA
Rfam family: Bacterial small subunit ribosomal RNA
Source: RNAcentral
GACAGAGGGUGCAAACGUUGCUCGGAAUCACUGGGCGUAAAGCGCGUGUAGGCGGGCAGAUAAGUCAGAUGUGAAAUCCCUAGGCUCAACCAAGGAACUGCAUUUGAAACUAUCAGUCUAGAGUGAUGGAGAGGGAGGCGGAAUUCUCGGUGUAGAGGUGAAAUUCGUAGAUAUCGAGAGGAACACCGGUGGCGAAGGCGGCCUCCUGGACAUCAACUGACGCUGAGACGCGAAAGCGUGGGGAGCAAAC